AUCGAACGCUGGCGGCAUGCCUUACACAUGCAAGUCGAACGGCAGCACGGGAGCAAUCCUGGUGGCGAGUGGCGAACGGGUGAGUAAUAUAUCGGAACGUGCCCAGUCGUGGGGAUAACGUAGCGAAAGCUACGCUAAUACCGCAUACGAUCUAUGGAUGAAAGCGGGGGAUCGCAAGACCUCGCGCGAUUGGAGCGGCCGAUAUCAGAUUAGGUAGUUGGUGAGGUAAAGGCUCACCAAGUCGACGAUCUGUAGCUGGUCUGAGAGGACGACCAGCCACACUGGGACUGAGACACGGCCCAGACUCCUACGGGAGGCAGCAGUGGGGAAUUUUGGGACAAUGGGCGCAAGCCUGAUCCAGCAAUGCCGCGUGCAGGAUGAAGG
This 384-nucleotide ribosomal RNA is filed under the name uncultured bacterium. RNAcentral describes it as "bacterial SSU rRNA". It matches the Rfam family "Bacterial small subunit ribosomal RNA", at positions 30 to 414 of the family's 1533-position model. The record is from RNAcentral.